ACCUUUAUGCCCUUGCCCUAUUCAGCCCCCUCCGAGAGAGAACGAGUUCCGGCGAAUCUUUCCGCGGCUUCACCGCACUUCUCCCCGGUGCCUUCUUCAUCCCCAGGCAAGCCACAAUACCCACUUGCAUGAUAGUCAUGCAAUAGCCAUGGUUUUCAACUUAAAUAUUUAAUAAAUGUUUGCUUGUUGAAAAGAUGGUUAUCGUUGUUCCGGUGAUGUUCAGAUUUGCAUGUUCACUUUUGUGCUAUGUUGUUUUGUACUCUGUGAUCAUGUUAUACCUGCUAGUAUUACUAUUCAUAUGUUUAUGCUUGUUAGUAGUACAUGUUGAUGUUGGAGAUGGUCAUGCUAGUCGGUAUGUGAUGCUCAGUGGAUAUGAUUUACUGUUGAUAUGGUGGAAAGUUAUGUGAUGUUCUCAUGAUGAUGUUGAUAUCAUGUUCAUGCAUUUUAUCAUGGCUCAGCAUAUUUGCAUUCAAGUUUAACAGGAUUAAAUUGAACUUGAACACCUGUUGGCUGAGUCAUGGUGCCGCUGAAUCGAUGUUGACCAGUGCAACCACGCUUACCGGUAUGGGACGGUCCUAACUGGGUCUAUUGUUGUGCCUCUCGCCGGUGCCUCCAAUGAGGGAAGGUUAUGGGCGCGUGCUACCCUGAUCAGGUAGGCGGAGCAUAACCUUGUGUGCAUGUUGUUGAGUUAGUUUUUGGAUCCAUGUCACUGUGUGGGACGGGCCACGACGGUGGUCGUUGUGUCUGGAGGUAGGCACGGGGCCACCCAUGACUUAGCUCAGUGAGGAGUGAGUCGGAGUGGCCGGGAGAGUGUCAUGGCAGUAGUUCGGUUUUGUCGAAACGCCUUUGGUCCACCGGAAUGGGAGGGCGAGGCCAUGGGUUCCAUAGUGUGGGUACAGUGUACUAACCUCUGCAGAGUGUAUAUUAACCUAUCGAUAGCCGCGCCCGCGGAUAAGGACCCAGGUCGAGAGAAGGUCACACCAUGAGUCAACAGUAAUAAAAAAUAAUGUGUUUAAUAACAGUGAGAUAAGUUAGCCAAGUGUUGGUCGGGUUGUGAUCGUCGUAAGGAUCACGGGUCAUUUAGUGGUCGGGUUGUGAUCGCCGUAAGGAUCACGGGCCAUUUAGUGGUCGGGUGGUGAUCGCUGUAAGGAUCACAAGUUUGUCUAUGUUGGGGAUCAGGAAAUGAGAUGAUCACCGUUGGUAAGAGAGUCCGAGGGACUCAGUGCACAAGUUUGGUUGUAUUGCAUGAGUAAUAUGUUUGCAUUUAAAGAACCAUGGUAGAUCAUGAGAUGGUUGCAUACAGUUAACAUGCUAUGUCUGCAUCUGAUAUGAUUGGUAGUUUGUUAUUGCCAUGCCAUGCUUUGAUUGAGAUGAUCAUGUGAUGUCCGAGGUUGAUAAGUGAUGCAUGUGUCGGUUACGAGGUAACCGAGCAGUAUAAAUGGUGCAUGUAGUGACAUCGUGUUGCAUGAUAUUAUUGUUGGAUUAAUAUGUUCAUGUUGAGAUAGCAGUAUCAUGUUUAAGUUGGUCAUGCCAUGUUAUUUUGAUAAUAUCAUGUUAAUUCCUGUUUGACCUGUAAUUGCCAUGCUAUUGUUUGUCUUGAAUGUUUCUGGUUUAUUGUGAGCUUGCAAGUACAUUCAAUGUACUGACCUGGCGUGUCAUGCCAGCUUGCAGGUCAUGCCGGAUUUGAUUGCUUGCUUGUCGUGGUUUCCGUUCGUGCGAGCUAGGAUAAGCGUUCCCGCCAGAGUCCCUGCGGAGUGGAGUUCACCACCGUCACCGUUGUUCCGCUGCUAGAGUUAUUCCGCUGCUUCGAGUUGUUCUGCUGCUUGCAUAGAGCAACUAAGGAUGGCGUAGUGUCGUCGUACCGAUGUUAUUCAUUGUAAU
This 1881-nucleotide long non-coding RNA is filed under the name Triticum aestivum (bread wheat). RNAcentral describes it as "long non-coding RNA (TAES_LNC006817)". Lineage: Eukaryota; Viridiplantae; Streptophyta; Magnoliopsida; Poales; Poaceae. The record is from RNAcentral.